Molecule: small nuclear RNA, 102 nt
Organism: Mastomys coucha (southern multimammate mouse)
Lineage: Eukaryota; Metazoa; Chordata; Mammalia; Rodentia; Muridae
Source: RefSeq, a predicted model, not a curated record
CAGCACAAAUACUAAAAUACUGAAACUAGAACAAUACAGAGAAGAAUAGUGUGGACCCUGUGCAAGGAUGACAUGCAAAUUUGUAAAGCAUUCCAUAUUUUA